This 532-nucleotide long non-coding RNA is filed under the name Equus caballus (horse). RNAcentral describes it as "lncRNA (ENSECAG00000037118.3)". The record is from RNAcentral. Lineage: Eukaryota; Metazoa; Chordata; Mammalia; Perissodactyla; Equidae.
GGCAGACAGGGGCUGGGGUGUAGGACUUUCUGGCCAGUUUAAAAAGUAUGGAUUUGUUCUAGGAGCAAUGUGAAGCCAUAUGAAAAUAAUAACUACAUACCUCAUAGAUUUGGUGAGAGUUUUAAAUGACUUCAUAUUUAUGAAGUGUUUAGAACAGAGGCUGGCAUAUGGUUAUUGUGGUCUCUGGACGUCCCUCACACUAUCACAGUGGAAACUAUCAGAAAGUCAUACUUCAUCUUCUAGCAGUAUUUAUUCAGAUCUAGAUUUAUUCAGUAUUUAUUCAGUCUUUAUGUGUGCUUAAAGUUGGAAAUAGGAUGUUAAUUAGAAAAGCCGCAUUGAUUUUCAAGCCAUUAAAAUGAUGACUAAAUAAAGAAGGGAAUGUGUUUUUCCAACUAGAAGCAAAGUUACUGGAAGCAUAGGCGGAAACUAAAGACAAGGUUGGGCCCCAGCUGUGUGUAUGGGUCAUGAUGAUUAGUGUCAGUUCAGUUUCAAAAAUCCAGUCAAACUAUUUUGUAAAUAAAUAAAAUUAAAA